AAUGGUCAAGGCCUGUGUGUACAGUACUGUUUUGGAUGCUGUGGAAUGUUGUGACAUGUGAGGCUCACAGUAAGCAGUCUCUCUCACGUCCCUGGACUGAGAACACCCAAGAGAACCAAUUAGUCAAGCUAAUGUGUCUACCUUUUAGAAUUAAAAUGUGAUCUUCUGAAUAAUUCAUAACUUGAUUUUUUAUGUGUGUGCUUCCCU
This 207-nucleotide long non-coding RNA is filed under the name Ictidomys tridecemlineatus (thirteen-lined ground squirrel). RNAcentral's name for it is "lncRNA (ENSSTOG00000032265.1)". The record is from RNAcentral. Lineage: Eukaryota; Metazoa; Chordata; Mammalia; Rodentia; Sciuridae.